GCUGUAGCUCAGUGGUAGAUCAUUUGCCUUGCAUGCAGGAGGUCCCAGGUUCAAUCCCCAGCAUCUCCA
Molecule: transfer RNA, 69 nt
Filed under: Podarcis lilfordi (Lilford's wall lizard)
Lineage: Eukaryota; Metazoa; Chordata; Lepidosauria; Squamata; Lacertidae
Description: tRNA.Ala
Rfam family: tRNA
About the family: Transfer RNA (tRNA) molecules are approximately 80 nucleotides in length. Their secondary structure includes four short double-helical elements and three loops (D, anti-codon, and T loops).
Source: RNAcentral